UAAGGAUUCAGAUCUGAUUUGGCUUCCAAGCUGGUCUCGGAUUCAUUGGAUAAUCUGAGUUCCCUUUUCUAGAAUUGGACAAGACCUACCUCCUAUGCUUGUAGGGAAGGUUAAGUGAGUACCUCCCUGCGUGGUUGAAAGUGUUAUAGGCACGCUGGCUAGUACUAUUUGUAGAAUCACCCCCUAUUCUCUCUGCCUGGGACAUUCUAAGUAGCACAAGCUUGCCAAAGCGAAUUAAAACAAACAUUGCUUCACUCAAAGUGAAGCUGUAGCCAGAGAAUCUUUUGAAGAGAAUCAUAAGAAAAUGCUCUCUGGAAAGAAAGUGGAGUUUUCCAAAGUCCACAUGACACGUGAUGUUGCAAAAGACUGAAUGCAGAAGCAGAUAUGAAAUCCAGACAUCUUCUCUUAAGAUGAAAAACUGAUGCCCAAAGAUGUUCAUCAACUUACCCAAGAGAAAGUAAGAAGCUAGAAGUAAGAGCUGGGGACUGGCUCAGGCCAUCCUGUGGGCCUGCAUUUCGAGCUCUCUUUCACCUCAAAUGCUGCAGAAGAUGAGGAAGUGGGUAACUGGG
Molecule: long non-coding RNA, 569 nt
Organism: Dama dama (fallow deer)
Lineage: Eukaryota; Metazoa; Chordata; Mammalia; Artiodactyla; Cervidae
Exons: 3
Source: RefSeq, a predicted model, not a curated record